Molecule: ribosomal RNA, 495 nt
Filed under: uncultured bacterium
Lineage: Bacteria
Description: partial 16S ribosomal RNA
Rfam family: Bacterial small subunit ribosomal RNA
Source: RNAcentral
AUGCACGCUGGCGGCGUGCCUAAUCCCUGCACGUCGAGCGAACAGACGAGGAGCUUGCUCCUCUGACGUUAGCGGCGGACGGGUGAGUAACACGUGGAUAACCUACCUAUAAGACUGGGAUAACUUCGGGAAACCGGAGCUAAUACCGGAUAAUAUAUUGAACCGCAUGGUUCAAUAGUGAAAGACGGUUUUGCUGUCACUUAUAGAUGGAUCCGCGCCGCAUUAGCUAGUUGGUAAGGUAACGGCUUACCAAGGCAACGAUGCGUAGCCGACCUGAGAGGGGGAUCGGCCACACUGGAACUGAGACACGGUCCAGACUCCUACGGGAGGCAGCAGUAGGGAAUCUUCCGAAAUGGGCGAAGCCUGACGGAGCAACGCCGCGUGAGUGAUGAAGGUCUUCGGAUCGUAAAACUCUGUUAUUAGGGAAGAACAAAUGUGUAAGUAACUAUGCACGUCUUGACGGUACCUAAUCAGAAAGCCACGGCUAACUACGUG